Corvus hawaiiensis (hawaiian crow) is the source of this 1772-nucleotide long non-coding RNA. RefSeq lists it as uncharacterized. The record is from RefSeq and is a predicted model, not a curated record. NCBI's taxonomy places the organism in Eukaryota, Metazoa, Chordata, Aves, Passeriformes, Corvidae. The transcript is spliced from 3 exons.
AUUAGACACUCCAGACAUCUUAUACAGCCCCUGUAUCACAACGCUCGUGAGGUUUCUCAUCAAGCUAACAAGCAAAUUACCCGUGACAGUCCUGGCCAAACUCCUGAUAAAGGGGCUUUACGAAUUUGUGCCUCGAGGCGAAGGGAUGAAUAUUGUUGUUUUAAGUUGCAGAUAUGAGAUGGAGGGUACUCAGAGGCAUAUAAUGGUCAGUGCACGCAGUAUUGCAGUUCUUUACCUGCUAGUACUCUUAAAUCAGACAAGUGAGAAAGAUGGAUGCUAGCUCCAGAAGAUAAUUGCAAGCUCACCAGGAAACAAAUUGUCUGAGAGUUUGUGCUCUGAUCAUGUCGUCUUCACGUGUUUUGUACAGAGAGAUAGCCCUAUUCAGCAAAGAAUCAGAGGAGCUUAAGGCACCUGGUAUCUUGCAAAACAAGCCAAAAACCCAUGUGUUCUCAAAGCAUACAUCAGCUUCCAUAUGUAACUCAGUGAAUUGUCUUGUUUUUCUUACUUUGGAAGAAUUAAUCAUUUUUGCAUUUGUGAAAUCUCAAUUCUUAUCAGAGUAACAUAUCCCAUAAUUUACUCUGAUUGAUCUUACUAAUUCACUUAGCCAUUCCAACUGCUUGGCUGUUGCCCAGCUUCACAGGUUUGCUGUAACAGAAAAUACCAGGGUACUGUGAGCCAACUUACUCUCUUUUUUUAACUUUCUUUUUAUGUGAAUAAAAUUCCCAAAGACUUGUAGUUAAUAUGUGCUGGAAAUAAAGCCUGAAUAAAUACAGAACAAGGACUGUGGGUACUGACUUGGCCACUGACAAGCAUUUAAACAUAUUUCUUGCACUCGAAAAGACCACUUUCUUUUUAUAUAAGUUUCUCUAACAAAUUGCUUUAGCAGCUGAGAAACCUGCACAACUGAUGAUGUGUUCUGCUGUUGCUGGUGCCAUAUCUCACAGCAAGUGCAAGCUUUUGAAGGUGUUUAUAAAGGGCUCUACUUCUCUAGCACAAUGCUUUACAUCUAAAUAUCACGGCUGGCUGACAUCUGAUAGGCACUGGCCCACAGCAUGCAGCUUUCUGUCAGAAAUGCAAACCCUGCUCCCCUCACUGCAGCAAAUUGGAGUAGAGGUGUGCAGGGUGUGACAGGCGGGGCAUCAGGAGGAGAGUGGUGUGUGGCACAGCUCUCCUGCCCUCCCCAGGACAGGCUACUUCUGCAAAAAUAUCCUGUAAGGUGCCUUGUCUCCAAGCUACUACAUAAAGAAAUUGAAGUCCUAAAUAAAUUAAAUGCUCUAACCACCCUUAGCACUGUGAGGUGACUUCUCUCUGCAGCCUCUCCACCGGGCUUGGCAGAGCCUGCUCUGCCUGUGCCAGGGCUGAACCUGGCCCAGCAUUGCUGCACAAGCCUUAUGUAAAGUCCCCUUUGCAUUUCCACAGAGCUGCAAGAAUGGUUGUUCAUCACUUGGAGAUGUUUUAUGUUCUUUCUGGGGAGUGAAAUGCUUCUGACUUCCAGAGAAACAUGUACCUGUGCAGCCCCUGGGUGAGCCAAACUACUGCCUUUUGAUCCUGAGAAAGUUUUCAAGGACAAAGAGAACUGUUGAAGGCAGCGUGGUGCUCAUGCAACUUUUUGUCUCUGCUAAUGUCAACUUUGUAUUCAUUAUAAUCAGUCAGUGUGAAGGUCUCUGUUGAUAUGUGUCAGAGAGACAGCUUACUCCAUGCCUCUGUCCCACUGGCUUCGAAAUCACUUUCCUAGUAAUCGCAUUUGAAAGGGCGGUCAUUUUUGCCUAAAA